GACGAACGCUGGCGGCGUGCCUAAUACAUGCAAGUCGAACGAGAGCGACCGGUGCUUGCACUGGUCAAUCUAGUGGCGAACGGGUGAGUAACACGUGGGUAACCUGCCCAUCAGAGGGGGAUAACAUCCGGAAACGGAUGCUAAAACCGCAUAGGUCUUCGAGCCGCAUGGCUUGAAGAGGAAAAGAGGCGCAAGCUUCUGCUGAUGGAUGGACCCGCGGUGCAUUAGCUAGUUGGUGAGGUAACGGCUCACCAAGGCCGUGAUGCAUAGCCGACCUGAGAGGGUGAUCGGCCACAUUGGGACUGAGACACGGCCCAAACUCCUACGGGAGGCAGCAGUAGGGAAUCUUCCGCAAUGGACGCAAGUCUGACGGAGCAACGCCGCGUGAGUGAAGAAGGUUUUCGGAUCGUAAAACUCUGUUGUUAGAGAAGAACAAGUGCUAGAGUAACCGUUAGCGCCUUGACGGUAUCUAACCAGAAAGCCACGGCUAACUACGUG
This 498-nucleotide ribosomal RNA is filed under the name uncultured bacterium. Its description in RNAcentral is "partial 16S ribosomal RNA". It matches the Rfam family "Bacterial small subunit ribosomal RNA", at positions 28 to 507 of the family's 1533-position model. The record is from RNAcentral.